Molecule: long non-coding RNA, 1564 nt
Organism: Nothoprocta perdicaria
Lineage: Eukaryota; Metazoa; Chordata; Aves; Tinamiformes; Tinamidae
Exons: 2
Source: RefSeq, a predicted model, not a curated record
CUCCGGGAGCUGCGCGUUGCCAGCCUGUCCUCUUACAGAUCCGCCCGGCUCCCUCAMCGCACAGAUGGGAGCGUUGUUUAACCCUGUGCCGGAAGGAACGGAGGGAAACGGUGUUUGCCACGGAAAGCCACCCUGCCCACCAACUGUGUAGGUGGUCUCCAAAGGGAGCUGAUGGUGGAUGAAUAAAAAACCAACAUACAGACCUGUGCAUAAAAAGAAAGAGCUUAUGGCAYGAGCGAAAGGGAAUUUUAAGAAUCUGAGAAUCCGAGCAGGAAAAGUAUCWCCCAGGUGUGAUUUAAAAUUUGCAAGUAUUGAAAAAUAGGGCAGAAUUUUUCUUUCUUAAACAGUGCCCACAGGUAGGCCCAGUUAUAUCCGUGUACGUAGGCRGMUCCUUUCACUGGAGGAGAAAGUUCAACACAGGCCUGAAAUUUAGUGAGUCUGUGGAUGCAUUGAAGGAGCUAGAAUCUUCCUUUCUCAGCUACAUUAGUAGGCAUUAAAAAAGAGCACCUUAUUUCUAUCRUAUAAAGUAAAAUAAGAGCACCUUGUUUCUAUCAUUAUCUAUCGUAUAAGUAUUUCUGUCAUAUAAAGGGAGUUUUAAAAUAGGAAGCAGUUUUAUCAAGCAAUUGAUCUUUUUCAGAGGCUUGGUUCUAGCAAAUACCUGACAUAAGACACAUACUGAAGAGGAMGUAGUUACAGCUGUGCACAAUAGUGAGAGUAACAAGUUAGUUGGCAUUGWUUGCCAAGUCACUUCUGGAACAAAAGCCMGUSUUUACAAGUCCCCUGCUCUCGGUUCCCGGCUUUUCCCUGUAUCCCUUUGAGGUGUAAGAACUGCAGGCCCAGCCAGACCUGCCAGGCAGCAGAGCAGGUUGGUGCUGCCUUGCGCAAUGGGCUGCUCCUCGAAAGGAUUAUGGAGGUGAGAGUGCAAAAGGCUCCAAGUGAGAUUUCUGGCACCCAAGGUGAACUUGUGCGUGUAAAAGGAUGGAGAAAUURAUAUUAGUUUAGCUUAAAAGGGAUCAAGACUGUUCUUGUUGUGAAAUGGUUGUGGUUGUACCUUGUAAGGAAUUGAAUGCUGCUAACUUUUAUGUUGUCACGUGGGAUUUUCCAUUGUUGGGGGCAAGUAAAGAUGCCUGGUGGGUUGAAAGGAAUGUAGUGACUGGAGUCACUAUAGUACAUGUACCACAUAUUGCAUAUACUACAUAGUGUGUGCCUAGCAUAUGUACUAUAACRUGAAUUCUGGAGCGCUCCUAGGGCAUGUUCUAAGUUGUGAGCAACAAAUGUGUAGUGAGGUGUGUUUUAACAGCACYUUUUCAGGUUUUUGAGUAAGAUGUCCUUUGCUCCUGCUCGCUCGCAUGCAAUGGCCACACCAGGAAGGCUGCACAUCCUUAUUUUCCCUGAAGGGCCUCGGUAGUUCAGACCGUCCUGGGAUGGGGAACGUGCCUGGACAAGAAGUAGGUCCCAUCGGAGCUUCUCACGGGAGGGUAGUAUGGGUUGUGCUGUGGCACGCUGUGGUYGAACUGAAGCUGGGGCUGUGGCUUGAAAUUGAUACUCAUUGUGUGACCUUCUC